Molecule: ribosomal RNA, 1100 nt
Filed under: Microbacterium sp. M416
Lineage: Bacteria; Bacillati; Actinomycetota; Actinomycetes; Micrococcales; Microbacteriaceae
Also listed under: 2 other names
Description: bacterial SSU rRNA
Rfam family: Bacterial small subunit ribosomal RNA
Source: RNAcentral
GAUGAACGCUGGCGGCGUGCUUAACACAUGCAAGUCGAACGGUGAAGCCAAGCUUGCUUGGUGGAUCAGUGGCGAACGGGUGAGUAACACGUGAGCAACCUGCCCUGGACUCUGGGAUAAGCGCUGGAAACGGCGUCUAAUACUGGAUAUGAGCCUCUAUCGCAUGGUGGGGGUUGGAAAGAUUUUUUGGUCUGGGAUGGGCUCGCGGCCUAUCAGCUUGUUGGUGAGGUAAUGGCUCACCAAGGCGUCGACGGGUAGCCGGCCUGAGAGGGUGACCGGCCACACUGGGACUGAGACACGGCCCAGACUCCUACGGGAGGCAGCAGUGGGGAAUAUUGCACAAUGGGCGAAAGCCUGAUGCAGCAACGCCGCGUGAGGGAUGACGGCCUUCGGGUUGUAAACCUCUUUUAGCAGGGAAGAAGCGAAAGUGACGGUACCUGCAGAAAAAGCGCCGGCUAACUACGUGCCAGCAGCCGCGGUAAUACGUAGGGCGCAAGCGUUAUCCGGAAUUAUUGGGCGUAAAGAGCUCGUAGGCGGUUUGUCGCGUCUGCUGUGAAAUCCCGAGGCUCAACCUCGGGCCUGCAGUGGGUACGGGCAGACUAGAGUGCGGUAGGGGAGAUUGGAAUUCCUGGUGUAGCGGUGGAAUGCGCAGAUAUCAGGAGGAACACCGAUGGCGAAGGCAGAUCUCUGGGCCGUAACUGACGCUGAGGAGCGAAAGGGUGGGGAGCAAACAGGCUUAGAUACCCUGGUAGUCCACCCCGUAAACGUUGGGAACUAGUUGUGGGGACCAUUCCACGGUUUCCGUGACGCAGCUAACGCAUUAAGUUCCCCGCCUGGGGAGUACGGCCGCAAGGCUAAAACUCAAAGGAAUUGACGGGGACCCGCACAAGCGGCGGAGCAUGCGGAUUAAUUCGAUGCAACGCGAAGAACCUUACCAAGGCUUGACAUAUACGAGAACGGGCCAGAAAUGGUCAACUCUUUGGACACUCGUAAACAGGUGGUGCAUGGUUGUCGUCAGCUCGUGUCGUGAGAUGUUGGGUUAAGUCCCGCAACGAGCGCAACCCUCGUUCUAUGUUGCCAGCACGUAAUGGUGGGAACUC